Molecule: transfer RNA, 84 nt
Filed under: Gemmata obscuriglobus
Lineage: Bacteria; Pseudomonadati; Planctomycetota; Planctomycetia; Gemmatales; Gemmataceae
Description: tRNA-Leu
Rfam family: tRNA
About the family: Transfer RNA (tRNA) molecules are approximately 80 nucleotides in length. Their secondary structure includes four short double-helical elements and three loops (D, anti-codon, and T loops).
Source: RNAcentral
GCGGGAGUGGCGGAAUGGCAGACGCACCAGCUUGAGGGGCUGGCGGGAGCAAUCCUGUGCAGGUUCAAGUCCUGUCUCCCGCAC